UGAGGUUGUUCUUUUCUCUGCAAAGUCACAGAGGAAUAAAUGAUUUCAUUAAUUGUCUCUCACUAUAUUGCACACAACGUGCAAAGAGAGAUAUAAUGCCUUUUACAAAACUGAGCUGGAUCAGUACAAUUUGAAAUAGAUCUCAGCCACACAUUCAGCUAAUAGCUAAGAUCAUCACACAUGGCACUCAUGGCCUUUUAUACCUAUAUACCCUCUCACUUAGUAUUUAACAUAAGUGCAUACACAUAUUAACAUCACAACUUAUUUCUAAUCAGAUUUUGGACUUAUACUUCAACACUCCCCUUUAAGUCCAAAGCUGAUAUAACUCCUAGCUUGUCCCUGAGAUAGUUAAACCUGUCCUUUGGUAAUGCCUUGGUGAAAAUGUCUGCCACUUGUUCUUUGGUAGGACAGUAAACCAAGUCAAUUAUCCCUUGCUGCAAGGCAUCCUUGAUGAAGUGAUAUCUCCUGUCAAUGUGUUUUGUCUUCUGGUGAAACACAGGGUUCUUGGAUAUUGAGAUUGCAGAUGUGUUAUCACACUGCAGAGGGGUUGCAUCAACUUGUAACUCUCCAAAAUCUUCCAGAACAAAUCUGAGCCAUAUGGCCUGAGCUGUGGCUUCAGAAGCACUGAUAUACUCGGCUUCUGCAGUAGAAAGAGCAACACAGUGUUGUUUCACAGAGGCCCAUGAGAACACUCCACUUCCAAAAGAAAAUGCAUAGCCUGAGGUGCUUUUGCUGUCUUCAAGAGAUCCUCCCCAGUCACUAUCGCAAAAACCAAUUAAGACUGCCUUCUUGCCUUUCUCAUACUUCAAACCAUAGUCCAAUGUGCCCCUAACAUAUCUGAGCACUCUCUUAGCUGUUCCAUAGUGUUUAUUGGUAGGACAAUGCAUAUAUCGAGCUAAUAAACUAGCUGCAUACAUUAUAUCCGGUCUUGUAGCAGUAAGAUACAGUAAACUGCCUACAAGCUUUCUGUAUUUCUCUUCAUCUGCUGCACCACUGCCAUCUUCUUUACUCAACUUUUCAGUAGCCACAAGAGGUAUAGAGACAGAUUUACAUUCUUUCAAUCCAAACUUAUCCAACAGGGAAGAGGCAUACUUCUUUUGAUGAAUGAAGAUGCUAGAUUCUGUUUGAAUUAUCCCCAUUCCCAGAAAAUGAUGAAGAAGGCCCAAGUCUGACAUCUCAUACUUCUCCUUCAUAUCUUCUUUGAACUCAUCCAACAUGUCUUGAUUGUUUCCAGUAUACACAAUAUCAUCCACAUAUAUGGAGACUAUUAGUAUAUCCUUUUCUCCCCUUGUCUUAGUGUAGAGAGUUGCUUCACUUAAGCUUUUCUCAAACCCACACUUAGUAAAAUAACUGUCAAUCUCUCCAUACCAGGCUCUAGGUGCCUGUUUUAACCCAUAAAGAGCCUUAUGCAAUUUGUAGACCUUGUCCUCCCUGCCAUUAACUACAAACCCCUCAGGUUGAUCUACAUAUACUUCUUCCUGCAAUUCUCCAUUCAGAAAAGCAGAUUUAACAUCUAGUUGAUAUAAUUUCCAGCUUCUCUGUGCAGCAAGAGCUAUCAAGGUUCGGAUUGUGUCCAAUCUUGCAACCGGGGCAAAAGUCUCAUUGUAGUCAAUUCCUGGUUUCUGCACAUACCCCUUGGCAACUAGUCUUGCCUUGUUCUUUUGGACUGAACCAUCUAAGUUCAACUUAGUUUUGAACACCCAUUUAACUCCAAUCACCUGCUUAUCACUUGGUCUGUUAACAAGCUCCCAAGUUCCAUUCUUCUCAAUCAUUUGCAGUUCUUCUUCCAUUGCCUUUAUCCAAGCCUGAUCUUGUGCAGCUUCUUCGAAUUUUUCAGGUUCCACAAUACAGAGAUUGCACUGUGCCAUAAUAUCAUUUAUGUUUCUCCAUUUCACUGGAGUAUGAUCAUAAGACUGAGGGAUCUCAACAGAUUCUUGAAUGCUGCUUUCUUGUUCUUCAGUAUGAGAGGAGGUAUAGGAACUGGAGGCACUGUCUUGAAUCUCACCCAACUCAUGUGAAUUCUGAAUGUGGGUCACAGCAACAGAAUUCUCUGAAUGUUUCUUCCAAUUCCAGGUUAUAGUUUCAUCAAAAACUACAUCUCUUGAAAGAAUUAACUUCUUAGUGCAUGGAUCAAACACUCUGUAUCCCUUCUCACAUGUAGCAUAUCCAACAAACACACCUUUGACACUCUUAGCAUCUAGCUUCUGUCUUAUUUCAGAUGGUAUAUGCACAUAGCAUACUGAUCCAAACACCUUUAAAUGGCCAACCCCUGGUUUUCUGCCACUGUAAGCCUCAAAUGGUGUUAAAUUAUUGAGUGCCUUUGUAGGUGAUCUGUUCAAAAUGUACACAGCUGUGUGUACUGCUUCUGCCCACAGAAAGUAUGGCAUGCUUUUAUCAUGAAGCAUUGCCUUAGCCAUUUCUACAACCGAUCUAUUCUUCCUCUCCACUACUCCAUUUUGUUGUGGAGUGUAGGCCAUAGAUAACUGUCUUUGAAUCCCUGCAUCUUCACACAGUUUGUUGAAUUCACAAGAUGUGAAUUCUCCCCCUCUGUCACUCCUCAAACAUUUUAUCUUAAAGUCACUUUGUAAUUCCACCAUGGACUUGAAUUUUCUAAAACAUAUCAAUGCAUCUGACUUGUAUUUCAGAAAAUAAACCCACAUCAUUCUUGUACAGUCAUCUACAAGAAGCAUGAAAUAUUUGUUGCCCGCAAGUGAAUCAUUCUGCAUAGGACCACACAAAUCCACAUGCACCAGUUCUAGAGGUUUACUUGCUCUCCAUGCUUGAUUCUUUGGAAACCACUCUCUAUGUUGUUUCCCAAACUGACAACCUUCACAAACUUCAUCCAUUUCUUCUAAAACUGGGAGACCAUGCACCAUUUCUUUGUUUUUAAGCUGCUGAAGACCCCUAACAUGCAGAUGGCCUAGUCUCUUGUGCCAUAUCCAAGUAGACUUAGAAAUACCUGCCCUCAGUACAACCUGAUCAUUUGGUAUCAGUGUCAAGGGGUAACACCUGUUCUUUUUCAUUUCAACUUUGAGUACAAGACAAUCCAAUGAAGGUCCAUCAAAAAUACUGCACAUUUUUCCCCCAAAUAACAGAUAGUAACCGUGUUCAUCCAUCUGCCCCACACUUAACAGAUUUUCCUUCAACCCAGGUAGAUACAUUACAUCUUUGACAUAUUUUCUGCCUUUGCUAGUAUCUAUCAUAAGUGUUCCAAAACCUGCCACAUUCAUGAGUUCCCCUGUGGGCAUUUGAACCUUGCCAACCACAUUUGUCUUCAUGUCUAUUAACAAAUUAGAAUCCCCUGUCAUAUGGUUGCUACAACCACUGUCUACAUACCAUUCUCCAUUCACUUUUGAUUCAGUGAUUGUGCUAUUUGCAUAAAACAGGUUCCCUGUCACCUCUACCUGAUUAGCAUUAUUUGCCUUUUGCACUAAUUUACCUACUGUGUACUCUCUAGCCCAGUGACCAAACUUUUCACAGUUAUAGCAUUUAGGUUUCCCUUUAUACCUACACUCUCCAAAGUGAAACUUAGAACAUACCCUGCACUGUGGUUUUGUACCUAUCUGCCCCAUUGACUGUGCAUUAUGUGCAGGACUAGCAGGAAAUUUCUGCUGAAACUUAGGUUUUGAACCCCAUUUCUUGCCCUUAUUAUUCCAUUUUUUCUGGAACUGAGAUGAACCAGAUUGACCUUCACCCCUAUUCUGCUCUUUUGAAUUCACUGAGAAAGAUGAGAAUGCUUUCCCAGUAGUAUCAACAGUAUGCAGAUCAAACCGUUGUUCUUGACUCUUCAAGAUUGCAACUACUUCCUGCAAUUCUACAGUCUCUAGACACUUUGUGUUUUCUAUAACCAAACAGAUAGAAUCAUAAGGUUUACUAAGACUAAUCAGAACCUUCUGCACAAGUCUCUCAUUCGACAGAGAUUCACCAAAUGUUCUCAUUUGAUUAAUUAGCUCAUUCAGCCGUGUAAGAUAGCUAGAUAAAGACUCAUCAUCUCUCAUCCUAGCAUAUUCAAACUCUCUCCUAAGAUUCUGCAAUUUCACAGAUCGUACCUGAUCACCACCAUGAUACUCCCCGUAUAACAAAUCCCAUGCCAUCUUAGCUGAUUCGGCAUUGGCGAUUCGUGGGAAGAUCUGAUCCGAGACUGCAUUUUGAAUGAUUCCUAGAGCCUUCGCAUCCUUCAUGAACACAGCAGCCAUUUCUUCAUCGACUGCAUCGUCCGAUGACCCUUCAACUUCCUUCUUCUUCUUCGAGUCAGGGGUUGUAAUCCCUUUGUCCACCAGCUUCCAUAACCCAAGCGAUUUGAAUAUCGUUACCAUCUUAAUCCGCCAGAACUCGUAGUUCUCACCAGAGAAGAUUGGGGUUCUCACCUCCGAGCUUCCAGAUCCAGACAUCUUGAUCCGUCUGUUGCUUUCUCGCCUCAAAUGAAAACUCCGGCGACUUUCACCGAGCUUUGACUUAGCUUAGUGACUUCACAGCUUCACGCCCAGAUUCAAUUGAUCGAAAAUCGGCUCUGAGGCCAUGUUACAAUUUGGUAAGGUUAAUUCUAUGGAAGAAGAGAAGAUGAAUAGUUUUGGAAUGAAACAGGGAGAGAAGAAUGAGGUUGUUCUUUUCUCUGCAAAGUCACAGAGGAAUAAAUGAUUUCAUUAAUUGUCUCUCACUAUAUUGCACACAACGUGCAAAGAGAGAUAUAAUGCCUUUUACAAAACGGAGCUGGAUCAGUACAAUUUGAAAUAGAUCUCAGCCACACAUUCAGCUAAUAGCUAAGAUCAUCACACAUGGCACUCAUGGCCUUUUAUACCUAUAUACCCUCUCACUUAGUAUUUAACAUAAGUGCAUACACAUAUUAACAUCACAACUUAUUUCUAAUCAGAUUUUGGACUU
RNAcentral lists this long non-coding RNA (4881 nucleotides) under Malus domestica (apple). Its description in RNAcentral is "long non-coding RNA (MDOM_LNC001042)". Lineage: Eukaryota; Viridiplantae; Streptophyta; Magnoliopsida; Rosales; Rosaceae. The record is from RNAcentral.